AUCCUUGUUGGCGGUUUCGA
This 20-nucleotide small nuclear RNA is filed under the name Arabidopsis thaliana (thale cress). Its description in RNAcentral is "snRNA_09079". The record is from RNAcentral. Lineage: Eukaryota; Viridiplantae; Streptophyta; Magnoliopsida; Brassicales; Brassicaceae.